Molecule: ribosomal RNA, 253 nt
Filed under: uncultured bacterium
Lineage: Bacteria
Description: partial 16S ribosomal RNA
Rfam family: Bacterial small subunit ribosomal RNA
Source: RNAcentral
UACGUAGGGUGCAAGCGUUGUCCGGAAUUAUUGGGCGUAAAGAGCUCGUAGGCGGUUUGUCGCGUCUGCUGUGAAAACUCGGGGCUUAACCCCGGGCCUGCAGUGGGUACGGGCAGACUAGAGUGCGGUAGGGGAGACUGGAAUUCCUGGUGUAGCGGUGAAAUGCGCAGAUAUCAGGAGGAACACCGGUGGCGAAGGCGGGUCUCUGGGCCGUAGCUGACGCUGAGGAGCGAAAGCGUGGGGAGCGAACAGG